Molecule: ribosomal RNA, 673 nt
Filed under: Shigella flexneri
Lineage: Bacteria; Pseudomonadati; Pseudomonadota; Gammaproteobacteria; Enterobacterales; Enterobacteriaceae
Description: partial 23S ribosomal RNA
Rfam family: Bacterial large subunit ribosomal RNA
Source: RNAcentral
UGGGGCGGUCUCCUCCUAAAGAGUAACGGAGGAGCACGAAGGUUGGCUAAUCCUGGUCGGACAUCAGGAGGUUAGUGCAAUGGCAUAAGCCAGCUUGACUGCGAGCGUGACGGCGCGAGCAGGUGCGAAAGCAGGUCAUAGUGAUCCGGUGGUUCUGAAUGGAAGGACCAUCGCUCAACGGAUAAAAGGUACUCCGGGGAUAACAGGCUGAUACCGCCCAAGAGUUCAUAUCGACGGCGGUGUUUGGCACCUCGAUGUCGGCUCAUCACAUCCUGGGGCUGAAGUAGGUCCCAAGGGUAUGGCUGUUCGCCAUUUAAAGUGGUACGCGAGCUGGGUUUAGAACGUCGUGAGACAGUUCGGUCCCUAUCUGCCGUGGGCGCUGGAGAACUGAGGGGGGCUGCUCCUAGUACGAGAGGACCGGAGUGGACGCAUCACUGGUGUUCGGGUUGUCAUGCCAAUGGCACUGCCCGGUAGCUAAAUGCGGAAGAGAUAAGUGCUGAAAGCAUCUAAGCACGAAACUUGCCCCGAGAUGAGUUCUCCCUGACCCUUUAAGGUCCUGAAGGAACGUUGAAGACGACGACGUUGAUAGGCCGGGUGUGUAAGCGCAGCGAUGCGUUGAGCUAACCGGUACUAAUGAACCGUGAGGCUUAACCUUACAACGCCGAAGGUGUUU